GCCGAAGCGCGGAAGGAGAGGAUCAUACCGCCAUAGAUUAAAGUAGCCAAAGUUGGGUGGGAAAGGCUAAAGACCGAAAUGCGGAAGUAGAGGAUUAUGCCACCGUGAAUUAAAGCAGGCAAAGCUGGACUAAAGGCCGAAAGGCAGGAGGAAAGAUGAGAUCCCCCCGUUUUUCAAACCCGUGAUUACGAUGUUUAAUCGGCAAGGGGCACCGGUAACGGGUUUCUCGUCCACGUGGAUUGUAAAACAGGUUUCCCCGUCGGGUUGAACAGGGCAAGGGGAGAGCGCAGCUCCGGUCAGUUGUGCUGGUGAGGGCAGUUUGGGCCCCGGGUGGGGCGCGAGAGUGCUGGCAGGCUAGGCGGGGGCGUGCUUAGAGGUCCGCGUAGGCUGCGGGAGGAGGAGUUUUGGGAGUGGGUGAAAUCGAAGACCGGAAGAAGAGAGGAGAAGGUGGAAGGGGAGGGCAGGGAGGAGGGCUCUGGCCGCGGCGGGCUAGAGGGCUAGACGAGCGAGGCCGGGCGGCUCCUAGGUGCGCCCCGCGAGGGCUAAACUCCGCGGCCACCAGACGCGGACCUAGUCCACCCGCACCCCCGCGCACCCUAAGCGCCGGGUACCGGUUGGGGCUGCUGCCGCCGCCCGCGUUCAAGACCGCGAGGCGCAGCACCAGCCGCAGCGCCCGGCGGCUCCGCCGCCCCGGCCUCCGCCGCGGCGAGGGCGGGGCCUACCCGGGCGGCGGCGAGUGGGGCGCCAGCUUUCCGGCCCGGACGGAGGGCGGCGACGUCGGCGAGCGGUAGUGAGCGGCGUCGGACCUGCUCACCGGGUUCCGCCCGAGGCUGCUGCACCCGCUCACCGGGUUGGGGUGGUGGGGCCCGCGCAGGUUCCGCCCGCCGCCGCCGGGCCCGAGUCGGUUCGGGCCCCUCCCGGAGGCCGAGCUGGAGAGGUGGGAGGCGAGCGUCCCGGCGUUCCUGGUCUAGCGGAAGAAGCUGUUCCUCACGAGGUUCCACCGGCUCGUGCACAUGGAGCCGCCGCUGCGGCAGCGGUUCUUGGCGCUGUAGGACGCGUUCUUGCCGUAGUGGGUGCAGGAGUUGACGCAGCCGAAGCAGACGGGGCUCAUGAAGUUCAGCCUGGAGCAGAUGGCGUGCGAGACCGACGUCCUGUCGGGUUGGCUCCUGUAGUGGUCGUAGGACAUGCUGCACAAACUAAUGAAGCUCCUGCACUCCCUCGUCCGGCCCGCGCACAAGCACGUAACGACGGUCCCCCACAGCGCGAGCUGUAGCGACCACUAUCGCAUAAACUACACCUCCCUUCCCGUCUCGAAGCUGCUGCGGAAGGUCAAACACUUCCGGCGAUCCCCCUAGCGCUUAGGCUUGUACCCCAAACGGACGGUCGACGAGGUCACGGUCUUCGCCCACGUACGGUAAGGAGACAGGGGUUUGAGUCACGAGUCCUACAUAGCCAACCGCGGAGUGAGGGGGAUACGAGGUGACGUAGAUCACGGGUUUUACGACUUACUCGGGAGCGGACGGCGGGAGCUGAGGUCCCCACGUAAGUAUCAAGUACACGAGAGCAGCUAAAUACAAACCCAACCUUAAUUUACACUAUGUCACUACCUCUUCCUACGCUCUCGCCGUCGAAAAGUCCACCACUCCAUACUCUUCCACGUCCCCGUCUAGUUUCAACAGUCUCUUCCCAACCUCGUUGGACUUAAAACCCUGCGGAAAAGGUCACGUGGACAAUUAAGUCUGUCGUUUUACUUCGAACCGUUCCUCGUCUAGCUAAGCGGUAGGUCCUGACCGCACCCUUCGGCCUCUCAGCUUAGAAUACUAAGACUAAAACUCGAGCAGGUCUUUCGCUAUCGACCCCCACAACAAGGUCGCAAGAGCAGAAGACCAUGACCUCUACUCUGGGUAGAAGGUCGCUCCCUCUCAUCGACCUCAAAUGAUUCCGCGUUCAAAUAGAGCUCUAGUGAUAGAGCUCAAAUAAGUCUAAGACGAGACUAUUCCCUAAACCUAGGUGCCCAUGUCGUGAACUGACGUCUCCGUAGUUAUAGUGGCGGAAAGGAAAGAGGCUCGAGAGAUAGUAGUCUAAGUUGGUAAUCGAGUUUCAGAGGAGAAGCGGUCAGUAGAUUACGCCUUGUAAGUUUCGGACAGGACCCUAGUUAUGCGAGAGGUAGGUUCCAGAGUAGAUAUCGUCUUUCUUCUCCACCUAAAAGUCCAGACUUCGAUGGUAGUGAGGGUUUCCUCGAUCAUAACGGUGGUUCCCGCGGUAGAUAAGUGUUUCGUCUCCUUCAGUGCCUAUUCUGAUUAUGGUUACCACACUUUGUCGAAUGACCACAAAGAACGGGUCUCUUUACGUGGCCUUGAUCAAGUUGUCGUUGACUGUCGUUGAGUCUCCGAUGACAGGUGCCACUCUGGUAUAAUUAACUCGUAUGAUUGAGUCUCCGGACAUUAAUACAAGUUGAUGAUCAGAUGGCUACCGGGACGUACCUCUUCGACUGACGUAAGCGAGCGUUCCUAGAACUGGGUUUUUGUCAAAAAUAAAAACAACGAGGAUUUCGGUCGUCUUCACGUCUUCUUCAAUUUUGCCAUACGCACACCCAUCCUCCACUUAUACUCACAUCGUUUCCACAACUGUCAUAACUAACCGUCGUUCAACGACCACUAAAAGAAUUAGUCUUCCCCAAGUCGUUAUGAGAAGGACAAUUCCAAAAGUUCCUCGUACUUUGGCUCUUAGAAAACCUCCAAGACCUACGAGCAAUUGUCAUCCAGUCCCAUAAGAUGAUCGAAUUGUUUGUCGGCGUUUGAUAGUUAAGUUACUUCCGUAAAGGAGGUCGUAGCGAGGUACAUCACCGCUGACAGUCCGCUCCAUAUUCGGCACUGUUGGCAAGGGAGGACUUGUAUAUCCGAUGUCUAAGGUAAAAUCAUCUUGUCUACCUAACCGUUAAACACGGAACGGAAAAAAAAAAGUCUGAACGAACACAGUUUUACCGUCCUCCGACGGUCUCGCAACAUAGACACACUUAAUUGUGUGUCUCUAACCCAAAACCGCGUUGGCCCACAUAUAAUAGACGAAGUGACAUUACAUUCGGGUAUCCGGCCCUCUAGCGACCACAGCAAAAAUGGGGGACUUUUAGUACAUGUAGAGUCCCUUCUUGCCUAAACAUUAGGAGAACCGGAUGUCCGCAGAGACGACGACCAGAAUUGAAAAUUGGAACUUGGGCCGAUAAACGACAGGACCAGUACAGCAUAAUCGUUACAUGAAGUCUGAGACCAGUAUAAGUAUGAACGAUAGUAGUAUGUUUCAAGGGUCAAAGGUUCUUUAACGGUAAAUUAAAACAAUAACGAACAGGAACAGUUUAAGUACGUCGGUUAUAAGGUUCCUUGUGAACGUGUCUUAAACACACGACUAGGAAAGUUAACGAUAAGUCAAAAAGAAGAAGUUAAACAAUCACUGUCUGUCCCACGCUUAAACAAACACGAAAAGUCUUCGGAAGAAGGCACACCAUUUUACCCUAUCACACCUCCAACCUCUGCCUUUCGUUUCGUAGGCACACCAUUUUACCCUAUCACACCUCCAACCUCUGCCUUUCGUUUCGUUUGUGACCAAGCCCUUGUAAAAAUCAUAAAUAAAAUCCUUGUAUCAAGUACAUUUAAUUUUGUACACCACGGUAUGUUAAGGCUCUUUUGGUUUUAAUGAAUUUGGUACUUUCUUAUGGUUCCUUCCUAAUGUAAUU
RNAcentral lists this ribosomal RNA (3730 nucleotides) under Triticum aestivum (bread wheat). Its description in RNAcentral is "partial small subunit ribosomal RNA". The record is from RNAcentral. Lineage: Eukaryota; Viridiplantae; Streptophyta; Magnoliopsida; Poales; Poaceae.